UGUGGUUUUGGAUGGACUCGCGGCCUAUCAGCUUGUUGGUGAGGUAAUGGCUUACCAAGGCGACGACGGGUAGCCGGCCUGAGAGGGUGACCGGCCACACUGGGACUGAGACACGGCCCAGACUCCUACGGGAGGCAGCAGUGGGGAAUAUUGCACAAUGGGCGCAAGCCUGAUGCAGCGACGCCGCGUGAGGGAUGACGGCCUUCGGGUUGUAAACCUCUUUCAGUAGGGAAGAAGCGAAAGUGACGGUACCUGCAGAAGAAGCGCCGGCUAACUACGUGCCAGCAGCCGCGGUAAUACGUAGGGCGCAAGCGUUAUCCGGAAUUAUUGGGCGUAAAGAGCUCGUAGGCGGUUUGUCGCGUCUGCCGUGAAAGUCCGGGGCUCAACUCCGGAUSUGCGGUGGGUACGGGCAGACUAGAGUGAUGUAGGGGAGACUGGAAUUCCUGGUGUAGCGGUGAAAUGCGCAGAUAUCAGGAGGAACACCGAUGG
This 489-nucleotide ribosomal RNA is filed under the name Arthrobacter sp. Its description in RNAcentral is "bacterial SSU rRNA". The record is from RNAcentral. Lineage: Bacteria; Bacillati; Actinomycetota; Actinomycetes; Micrococcales; Micrococcaceae.